This 250-nucleotide ribosomal RNA is filed under the name uncultured bacterium. Its description in RNAcentral is "partial 16S ribosomal RNA". It matches the Rfam family "Bacterial small subunit ribosomal RNA", at positions 524 to 773 of the family's 1533-position model. RNAcentral also lists the same sequence under 1 other name. The record is from RNAcentral.
UACGUAGGGUGCGAGCGUUAAUCGGAAUUACUGGGCGUAAAGCGAGCGCAGACGGUUUAUUAAGCAAGAUGUGAAAUCCCCGAGCUUAACUUGGGAACUGCGUUUUGAACUGGUAAGCUAGAGUAUGUCAGAGGGGGGUAGAAUUCCACGUGUAGCAGUGAAAUGCGUAGAGAUGUGGAGGAAUACCGAUGGCGAAGGCAGCCCCCUGGGAUAAUACUGACGUUCAUGCUCGAAAGCGUGGGUAGCAAAC